AACGCUGGCGGCGCGCCUAACACAUGCAAGCCGAACGGGAAAGUGGAGCAAUCCAUGAGUACAGUGGCGUACGGGUGAGUAACACGUGGGUAAUCUACCUUUUAGUGAGGAAUAACCGAGGGAAACUUUGGCUAAUACCGCAUAAGCCUGAGAAGGGAAAGCAGAAAUGCGCUGAAAGAGGAGCCCGCGGCCGAUUAGCUAGUUGGUGGGGUAAGAGCCCACCAAGGCAGAGAUCGGUAGCCGGCCUGAGAGGGCACACGGCCACACUGGCACUGAAACACGGGCCAGACUCCUACGGGAGGCAGCAGUGGGGAAUCUUGCACAAUGGGGGAAACCCUGAUGCAGCGACGCCGCGUGAGCGAUGAAGCCCUUCGGGGUGUAMAGCUCUUUCGUCAGGAAGAUAGU
Molecule: ribosomal RNA, 405 nt
Filed under: uncultured bacterium
Lineage: Bacteria
Description: bacterial SSU rRNA
Rfam family: Bacterial small subunit ribosomal RNA
Source: RNAcentral